This 2902-nucleotide ribosomal RNA is filed under the name Enterobacter cloacae complex sp. RNAcentral's name for it is "bacterial LSU rRNA". It matches the Rfam family "Bacterial large subunit ribosomal RNA". The record is from RNAcentral. Lineage: Bacteria; Pseudomonadati; Pseudomonadota; Gammaproteobacteria; Enterobacterales; Enterobacteriaceae.
UUAAGCGACUAAGCGUACACGGUGGAUGCCCUGGCAGUCAGAGGCGAUGAAGGACGUGCUAAUCUGCGAAAAGCGACGGCGAGGUGAUAUGAACCUUUGACCCGUCGAUGUCCGAAUGGGGAAACCCAGUGCAAUCCGUUGCACUAUCGUUAACUGAAUACAUAGGUUAACGAGGCGAACCGGGGGAACUGAAACAUCUAAGUACCCCGAGGAAAAGAAAUCAACCGAGAUUCCCCCAGUAGCGGCGAGCGAACGGGGAGCAGCCCGGAGUCUGAAUCAGCUUGUGUGUUAGUGGAACGGUCUGGAAAGUCCGACGGUACAGGGUGAUAGUCCCGUACACGAAAACACACUUGUUGUGAACUCGAAGAGUAGGGCGGGACACGUGGUAUCCUGUCUGAAUAUGGGGGGACCAUCCUCCAAGGCUAAAUACUCCUGACUGACCGAUAGUGAACCAGUACCGUGAGGGAAAGGCGAAAAGAACCCCGGCGAGGGGAGUGAAAAAGAACCUGAAACCGUGUACGUACAAGCAGUGGGAGCCUCUUUAUGGGGUGACUGCGUACCUUUUGUAUAAUGGGUCAGCGACUUAUAUUCUGUAGCAAGGUUAACCGUAUAGGGGAGCCGAAGGGAAACCGAGUCUUAACUGGGCGUUAAGUUGCAGGGUAUAGACCCGAAACCCGGUGAUCUAGCCAUGGGCAGGUUGAAGGUUGGGUAACACUAACUGGAGGACCGAACCGACUAAUGUUGAAAAAUUAGCGGAUGACCUGUGGCUGGGGGUGAAAGGCCAAUCAAACCGGGAGAUAGCUGGUUCUCCCCGAAAGCUAUUUAGGUAGCGCCUCGUGAAUUCAUCUUCGGGGGUAGAGCACUGUUUCGGCUAGGGGGCCAUCCCGGCUUACCAACCCGAUGCAAACUACGAAUACCGAAGAAUGUUAUCACGGGAGACACACGGCGGGUGCUAACGUCCGUCGUGAAGAGGGAAACAACCCAGACCGCCAGCUAAGGUCCCAAAGUCAUGGUUAAGUGGGAAACGAUGUGGGAAGGCACAGACAGCCAGGAUGUUGGCUUAGAAGCAGCCAUCAUUUAAAGAAAGCGUAAUAGCUCACUGGUCGAGUCGGCCUGCGCGGAAGAUGUAACGGGGCUAAACCAUGCACCGAAGCUGCGGCAGCGACACUAUGUGUUGUUGGGUAGGGGAGCGUUCUGUAAGCCGUUGAAGGUGGCCUGUGAGGGUUGCUGGAGGUAUCAGAAGUGCGAAUGCUGACAUAAGUAACGAUAAAGCGGGUGAAAAGCCCGCUCGCCGGAAGACCAAGGGUUCCUGUCCAACGUUAAUCGGGGCAGGGUGAGUCGACCCCUAAGGCGAGGCCGAAAGGCGUAGUCGAUGGGAAACAGGUUAAUAUUCCUGUACUUGGUGUUACUGCGAAGGGGGGACGGAGAAGGCUAUGUCAGCCGGGCGACGGUUGUCCCGGUUUAAGCAUGUAGGCGGAGGUUCCAGGUAAAUCCGGUACCUUUUAACGCUGAGGUGUGAUGACGAGGCACUACGGUGCUGAAGUGAUAAAUGCCCUGCUUCCAGGAAAAGCCUCUAAGCAUCAGGUAACACGAAAUCGUACCCCAAACCGACACAGGUGGUCAGGUAGAGAAUACCAAGGCGCUUGAGAGAACUCGGGUGAAGGAACUAGGCAAAAUGGUGCCGUAACUUCGGGAGAAGGCACGCUGAUAUGUAGGUGAAGUCCCUGCGGACGGAGCUGAAAUCAGUCGAAGAUACCAGCUGGCUGCAACUGUUUAUUAAAAACACAGCACUGUGCAAACACGAAAGUGGACGUAUACGGUGUGACGCCUGCCCGGUGCCGGAAGGUUAAUUGAUGGGGUUAGCGGCAACGCGAAGCUCUUGAUCGAAGCCCCGGUAAACGGCGGCCGUAACUAUAACGGUCCUAAGGUAGCGAAAUUCCUUGUCGGGUAAGUUCCGACCUGCACGAAUGGCGUAAUGAUGGCCAGGCUGUCUCCACCCGAGACUCAGUGAAAUUGAACUCGCUGUGAAGAUGCAGUGUACCCGCGGCAAGACGGAAAGACCCCGUGAACCUUUACUAUAGCUUGACACUGAACACUGGUCCUUGAUGUGUAGGAUAGGUGGGAGGCUUUGAAGCGUGGACGCCAGUCUGCGUGGAGCCAACCUUGAAAUACCACCCUUUAAUGGCUGGUGUUCUAACGUAGACCCGUAAUCCGGGUUGCGGACAGUGUCUGGUGGGUAGUUUGACUGGGGCGGUCUCCUCCCAAAGAGUAACGGAGGAGCACGAAGGUUGGCUAAUCCUGGUCGGACAUCAGGAGGUUAGUGCAAUGGCAUAAGCCAGCUUGACUGCGAGCGUGACGGCGCGAGCAGGUGCGAAAGCAGGUCAUAGUGAUCCGGUGGUUCUGAAUGGAAGGGCCAUCGCUCAACGGAUAAAAGGUACUCCGGGGAUAACAGGCUGAUACCGCCCAAGAGUUCAUAUCGACGGCGGUGUUUGGCACCUCGAUGUCGGCUCAUCACAUCCUGGGGCUGAAGUAGGUCCCAAGGGUAUGGCUGUUCGCCAUUUAAAGUGGUACGCGAGCUGGGUUUAGAACGUCGUGAGACAGUUCGGUCCCUAUCUGCCGUGGGCGCUGGAGAAUUGAGGGGGGCUGCUCCUAGUACGAGAGGACCGGAGUGGACGCAUCACUGGUGUUCGGGUUGUCAUGCCAAUGGCACUGCCCGGUAGCUAAAUGCGGAAGAGAUAAGUGCUGAAAGCAUCUAAGCACGAAACUUGCCCCGAGAUGAGUUCUCCCUGAGACUUUAAGUCUCCUGAAGGAACGUUGAAGACGACGACGUUGAUAGGUCGGGUGUGUAAGCGCAGCGAUGCGUUGAGCUAACCGAUACUAAUGAACCGUGAGGCUUAACCUU